RNAcentral lists this long non-coding RNA (4497 nucleotides) under Carica papaya (papaya). RNAcentral describes it as "long non-coding RNA (CPAP_LNC008823)". The record is from RNAcentral. Lineage: Eukaryota; Viridiplantae; Streptophyta; Magnoliopsida; Brassicales; Caricaceae.
AACCGACACCGUUUUCGUUGAGAUUGUUAUACAUUGCUCAUGGCGAGCGCGAGGCCAUUAUCGCUUUCUGUGUCUGCGCUCCGAGUCUACAAGAGCAAAUGAACUAACUCCUCGCAGUAGUUCAGUAAUAAAACUUGGUAAUGGCGUCUUUAGUCUCCGUAAGCUUCUUUACGCCUCCGUUUUCACGAGUCCUUCUCGAGGUAAGCUUCGAAACCCUAGCUUAUGUUCUAUAGUUUACGUACCAACCAUCUUCGCGACAGUACGUUUUGUUUCACGAGAAAAUGUUGAAGGAGAAAAUAUUUGGACCUUGUUGAAUGGUAUUAGUUUGAGUUGUUUUGGUAGUACGAGUGGUUAGCCUACUGAGUACCUGCUUCUUGUCGAGUGGAACCGAGUGGGCAGAAUAACUGUAUUAGUAAUUGAAUUCAGGGGAAUAACUGCGAAAUCUGUUUCGAUUUAAAGUUGCAGAAGAGAAUCUGUAUUAUGUUACAGAGUAUUCUACGUGUUCGUAUAUGGAUAUUUCUCAACUGGUUGUAAAUUUCGUUUUCUUUUUUGGAGGUUCUCCUGUAGAAGUUAUAAAUAAGAAAUAGGAAACAAACAAAUGAUAAUGUUGGUAUUUUAAUGAGAUGGAUCCUCUUUCUAUGGUAUUCAAAAUUAUAAUGGAAGGGUAUCAACUGUGCCUACUGCUAGAGGAUAACAAGAGCUUGGGAUUUGGAGCUGGAGGGAUUUGAUGCUUGCACUUUUUGUGGGUUUUAUCUGGAUUUAAAGGCGACAAACUGUAUUGAUUGCAUUCAUUUGUUGCCUUAGUACUCUCUGUCCCCAUAUCUAUUGAGUGGUGGAAUGAGGACAUCCAUUUUCUCAAGGUGGGAUUAAGAAUUUUCUACCACGUUCCACAUUUAUGGAUUUAACAACUGCAGCCCACAAUACAGAAAAAAUAGUUAGACCACAUUGUUCGGGCAGUAGAUUACUCUUUUGGUAAGGCGACAACUAUCAACAUAAUGUAAUUGAACAAGGCAUGUAACAAAACUGGUUUCCUUUGCCCCAUGAUUUUAGUACAUUGGUAUUUUUUUCUUUAUGUCUUUCUGAUGAGAGGUGGCAACAUAGCUUAGGAUUUGCUCAAACUUUAUGAAUUGAUUUUUGUAUGACAGCAAGAUGUAUACUUCUGGCAACCCAUCCCGAGCUCUUGUUGAGCUACAGUACACUCAUUUGUUAUUGAUGUAGGAUAUAUUAGGGUUGUCUACUUAUUAAUUUGGAGAUAAGAAUGUGGACAUCAAACAUCACACUCAAAAAGUCUUAAGGAUCAUAUUUAAGAGUUUGAUUGUAUUGAAUAAUCAAACUUUGUCUUGAAAAGUGAAAACUAAUGCUAAUAACUUUGACUUAAUAAUGUUUAUAAUAUUUUCUAAGUAGACUUUCCGAAACAGAAUUAGAUCAAGAUAUAAGCUUAAAAGGAGGGGGAUGAUUCUGGUCAACUGGUGUUGCUUAUGCAAAAGUGACGAGGAGACUUGCAAUCAUAUUCUACUUGGGUGUCCCGUGGUAUAUAGUUUAUGAUUAAUGGCUUUUGGAAUUAUUGGUUAUCAAUGCAUGACGGGUGGUAUUGUUAGGGAUGAAUUAUGGGUGUGGAAAGGUUUGGCUGGGAGGGAUAAGCAGCUGGGGCUGAUUCCCUUUGCCAUUUUUUGGGUCAUCUGGAAGAAAAUAAAUAGAAGAGGUUUUGUUGGAGUGGAGGAGAGCAUAGAUAAAAUCAGAGAGAGAUGGUUUCAAAUCCUUGGUAUUUUGAUUAUGGGUCAACCCGUGUUGUUUAUGGAAUUCUUUGCAUAAUUAAUUGAUGUACUUAAUUUUAUGCAUGGGCGAUACUCCCUUAGUGUCCAUACUUAAUGAUAAUGCUACACUUUUUAUUUUUUAAAAAAGAAGAAUUAGAUCAAGAAAUACAAACACUAAUAGGGUUAGAAAAUAAUACUAUUGAUUUAAAUAAGGAAAUUAAAUAUUAAAAGAAUAAAAUAAUAAAGCUACUAAGACUAAUAAGCUCCUCCUAAAUAAUACAAUAGUUUUAUAUCUAAUAGAAUUAUAAUUUCUAAUUUAUUUAGGUGAUUUAGAAUUAACUCAUUCUGCAUCAUUCUUUCCUAGUCAGAAAAAAAACUCAUCAAUCAGUUUUGAAGUAGUGAAUAAUGCAAAACUUAGAUCUUUGAAGUUCCUGAUAAAAAUUUAACAAACUAUGUGCUCGGUCAUUCUCUUUGAUAACAAUAAUGAAGGAGAGAUGGACAAACAAUUUGUUAGGGGUGCUAAAUCCUUGCAGUAGGAUGAACUCAACAAAACAAAAUAUUUUCCCUUCAACUUUAUCCUUGAGCUGAACAUUACUAGUUCUAAUUAUUGGCCUAAGCUUCUCCUUGCAUUGUACUUCUAUAUAACUCUUUAAGUAGUCAAAUGUUUUGAGUAAUCUCAAAAUUUAAUUCUUAGGAAGACAUGACAGUUCUUGCUGCUCAUCAAUUUCGACAUGUUUAUUCUCUUCUUCUUUUUCAUUGACUAGAUGCACUUUUGGACGUUUAUAUUUACUCGUCUCCUUUGCAGUCAUAGGUUCUAUAACUACAUUCUUUAUGCUAAGCAUAAAAUGAUAAGAAUUGGUAGUCUUUUCCUGCUGAAUGAAGAUACUUAUAAUGUUUCUUAAGUAACCAUUCUCACAUGUAAAUACUAAUAAUAACUGAAUUAGGAAAUAAUACUACUGAUACAAAUAAGGAACUAACUCAAGUAAAAAAAUUAAAUCCUAAAGUUUCUAAGAGUAUAAAAAUAAUGAUGUGGCAUAAAGAGAAUUUGAACACAAUACUUAGAAAAAAUUUAUUAAGAGUCAAAAUUGGAGAUUAAUUCACUAGCUCGAUAUUUGCAUAAUAAUCAUAUAAAUGGUCUACCAAAUGACUAAAUUAUGGUACCCUAUAGGCACAAAAAUACGACCAACGUAGGAAAUUUUUAGUCUGUAAGGAUUCCGCUAAAUAGAAAAUAGCUAGUUAAUUAAAUGUCAUGAUAAAAGAAACUAGAAAGGAAAUUAAAUAUUCCUGUUCCUUUUAAUGUAAAACUUCCCAGAAUACAUUUAUCUUUAUUGGUUCUGCAUGAAAUAGACUCCUGAAUAGUCUAAUAGUUUUAUAUGUAAUAGAAUAAUAUUUUCUAAUCUAUUUAAGCAAUCUAGACUUAACUCCUGCAUGACUUGUACUAUGCUGUUUAAUUUUAUGUUGCAAGACCCUUAAUCAUUAUUAAUUGAAAAAAUUAUUAAUUUGAUCACUCUGUAAUAGUUCUGCUUUCAGAUAAUUGCUUAUGUGUCUUUGAAUUUGGAAGCUUCAUGGUUGUUGGGACAUUUUUGUAGGAAAAUGAUCCAAAGAAAGCAGCAUUGAGCAGACUUUCUAGCCAAGCAACUGGUAGAAGAGGUUCUCUUCUUUGAGUUUCUUGUUUUUUCUACGGCAUUUGUUAAACCCUGAAGCAUGACGAUUGAUCAUUAUGUAAAAUAUAGUGUGUGAGCCAUGUCCCAUUAGCCUACAUGGUGCAUGAACUUACUGCUACUAAAUUCUUGGUCUUAUGUUCCUGGUUAACCUAGAUUUUAAAGAAUUCUACAGUGGUCCUUCUGGACUCAGGUCAUGUUUAGUUGGAUAACCAAACUUCUUUUCAAGAUUUUGGGUUCCAAUUAAUCAUCGGGUUGAGAUUUUUUUCUUCUCCCUGAAUUUUCCAGCAGGAUGUAUUGGAGGGGUAGCAAAAUUGAUCNNNNNNNNNNNNNNNNNNNNNNNNNNNNNNNNNNNNNNNNNNNNNNNNNNNNNNNNNNNNNNNNNNNNNNNNNNNNNNNNNNNNNNNNNNNNNNNNNNNNNNNNNNNUCCUAUAAAUCAGAGUUAUAAUCACUAUUUAACUUCACCAUCGAAGCAUUUUGCUGAAACUGUUUCUUUUCAUUUGGAGACUCAUAUGAUAAUGACUGGCUACUGGAUAGGACCAGAUAUUGAUGACGGUUGGGGACUAAUAGAUGCUUUUGUUGAUCGGGGAAUUUGAUUUUUUUUUUCAGCUUGAUGAAUGAUUUUCAAAUUUUGAUUGCAUAGUCUUGUAGAUUAAUGUUGAAUGUAGAACUCGAGUAAGUGAUGGAUAAUUUAGCACAAGGCAUAAAAGAAUUUCCAAAUUGUACCAUUUUUUUCAUUUUGAGACAUUGUACGGUAAGAAAGUUUGUAGCCUUUUUCAACAUGAAUGAAGAACCAUUGCAAACACAUCGAAUGCCAAAUUGUUUAUAAAUUUGUUGGACAUUCUUUCAUGUCUUAGUCCCCUAUCCCUUCCUAAGCUUAUAUUGUUUAUUUCAUUGGUGCAUCUUCACUCUCCCCAAUGUAAUAUGAUAGAUUUCUGAAGGUCUCAUUCCUGAGGCAUAUAACUAAAAAACGGGAAGAUAACUUCUAUGCUCUCUGAUUCAAUCUUGGAAGGCUGUUAGUAAUCAAGACUGGGACUAGGGUGUGCAUUCACGAAACAAUUAGAUUGAGCUCUCCAAAACUC